This 429-nucleotide ribosomal RNA is filed under the name Bacillota bacterium. RNAcentral describes it as "Firmicutes bacterium partial 16S ribosomal RNA". It matches the Rfam family "Bacterial small subunit ribosomal RNA", at positions 355 to 776 of the family's 1533-position model. Lineage: Bacteria; Bacillati; Bacillota. The record is from RNAcentral.
UAGGGAAUCUUCGGCAAUGGACGGAAGUCUGACCGAGCAACGCCGCGUGAGUGAAGAAGGUUUUCGGAUCGUAAAGCUCUGUUGUUAGAGAAGAACGUUGGUAGGAGUGGAAAAUCUACCAAGUGACGGUAACUAACCAGAAAGGGACGGCUAACUACGUGCCAGCAGCCGCGGUAAUACGUAGGUCCCGAGCGUUGUCCGGAUUUAUUGGGCGUAAAGCGAGCGCAGGCGGUUCUUUAAGUCUGAAGUUAAAGGCAGUGGCUUAACCAUUGUACGCUUUGGAAACGGGAGGACUUGAAUGCAGAAGGAGUGAGUGUAAUUCCAUGUGUAGCAGUAAAAGGCGAAGAUAUAAGGAGGAACACCGGUGGCGAAAGCAACUCUCUGGUCUGUAGCUGACGCUGAGGCACGAAAGCGUGGGGAGCAAACAGG